GGAAUAUUGGACAAUGGGCGCAAGCCUGAUCCAGCCAUGCCGCGUGUGUGAAGAAGGCCUUCGGGUUGUAAAGCACUUUCAGUGGUGAGGAAGGGGAGUAAGUUAAUAGCUUAUUUCAUUGACGUUAGCCACAGAAGAAGCACCGGCUAACUCCGUGCCAGCAGCCGCGGUAAUACGGAGGGUGCAAGCGUUAAUCGGAAUUACUGGGCGUAAAGCGCACGUAGGCGGUUUGUUAAGCAAGAUGUGAAAGCCCAGGGCUCAACCUUGGAAUAGCAUUUUGAACUGGCAGACUAGAGUUUUGAAGAGGGUGGUAGAAUUUCCAGUGUAGCGGUGAAAUGCGUAGAUAUUGGAAGGAAUACCAGUGGCGAAGGCGGCCACUUGGUCAAAAACUGACGCUGAGGAGCGAAAGCGUGGGGAGCAA
This 421-nucleotide ribosomal RNA is filed under the name uncultured bacterium. RNAcentral's name for it is "bacterial SSU rRNA". It matches the Rfam family "Bacterial small subunit ribosomal RNA", at positions 358 to 771 of the family's 1533-position model. The record is from RNAcentral.